RNAcentral lists this unclassified non-coding RNA (235 nucleotides) under uncultured fungus. RNAcentral describes it as "partial contains 5.8S ribosomal RNA, internal transcribed spacer 2, and large subunit ribosomal RNA". The stretch from base 1 to 52 matches the Rfam family "5.8S ribosomal RNA", at positions 103 to 154 of the family's 154-position model. RNAcentral also lists the same sequence under 1 other name. The record is from RNAcentral. Lineage: Eukaryota; Fungi.
AACGCACAUUGCGCCCUGUGGUAUUCCGCAGGGCAUGCCUGUUCGAGCGUCAUUUCAACCCUCAAGCUCCGCUUGGUGUUGGGCCCUGCCCCCGCGGCCGGCCCCAAAGACAGUGGCGGCGCCGCUCGGCCCUAAGCGUAGUACAUCUCUCGCUCUAGGACCCGGCGGUGGCCUGCCAGAACCCCAAACUCAUGUGGUUGACCUCGGAUCAGGUAGGGAUACCCGCUGAACUUAA